AUUUGUUGGAUUUUAUAUUAAUAUACAUUUAUUUUUAAAAUCAAUUUGAAUGUGACUCGAAAUUUCUGGAUUAAAAACAGUUCGGACCGCACCGAAAUAUGCAAAAUUUCAGAUAAUUUUUUAACCGUGGACACAAUAAGGGUUGUAAUGCUAACAAAAAGAAUAUGGGUUCCACAAAAAAACCUUAAGAAUUAGCAAAUGGGUUGUAAAUUAUUAGAAAUAAUGGCAGAUGGGAUGUAUGAUGUUUUCCACAAAUUUGAGGCUUUCCUAAGAAAAAGGUUGACGCACAAGCAGUGUCUGUUGAAUGUAUAUCCAACGGCCGUCGUGCUUCUUCAAUCUCUGCUCUUCCUGCUCCAGCCGCUCAAACAAGCGCCGACGGGACUGCCUUCUCCCUCCUCCCGCGGUCCGCUGCGCUGCCGCGCGGGCCUCACCGCCCCACCGUACUCCCAUCGCUGGCCUAGCCAUCCCUCUACUCCCCUCGGCGUGGGCAUCCACUGCUGCGUCUUCCCCGGCUCCGUGUCAUUCCCUUCCUAGGCCUCAUCGUCGUCCACCGCCCUGGAGCUCUCGGCGUGGCGUGGUCAACGUGGUCAACAAACGACAUCCAUCGAAAGUGGAUGGUGCGUGGAGAGGCUGACAGCUGGGUCCAUGGUCAUAGAAAAAUGAUGAUUCAUCCACCUAACAACUAGGACCCACCAGAAGGGCCUCUGUAUUUCAAAAAAAAAAGUUCCCCCCAAUGACAGCUCGGAUCCGCCAGCUAUAUCUUCGCACGCAAGGAAGUGCCUCCUUAUUACGCACAAAAAAAUGAAUCCCCCUGCUAGCAGGGACCCACCAUAGUGUGAGGCUGACUUGUGGGCCUACUAAGUUGACGGGGAUGGAGGGCUUUGUCAACUUAGUCAAUAUGAACAAUUCUAGCUCCAGUGACCGUACGCUGUUCAUCCAACGGCCGUAGUUCUUCUUCAACCUCUUGUCUUCUUGCUCCAGCCGCCCAAACCAGCGCCGGUCGUGCCGCAUACUCCUGCCUCCCAUGGCCGGCUGUGCUACCGCGGAGGCCUCACCACCCCUACUAUUCCCACCGCUGGCCAGGCCCUGCGGCGACGGCAGCCUCACACCGCAGCCGAACCAGUGAACCCUCGUACUCCUCUCCGCGUGGGCAUCCACUGCCGCAUCUUCCCCGGCUCCGCGCCGUCCCCUUCCUAGGCCUCGCCGUCGUCCACCGCCUUGGUGCUCUCAGUGCGACAUGGUUACUAUGGUCAACGAACGAGUUCCAUCGGAAGAGUACUAUACGUGGAGAGGCUGACAGCUGGGUCCCCGGCCGCAGCAAGGAAGUGCCUCCAUAUUACGCGCAAAAUAAUGAUUCCUCCACCUGACAGAAGGGACCCACCGGACAGGCCACCGUAUCUCGUGAAAAAAAUGUUUCCCCAUGACUGCUGGGACAAACCAGCUAAACCUUCGCACGCAAGGAAGUGCGUCCAUAUUACGGGCAAAAAAAUGAUUCGCCCCCUGACUGCUGGGACCCACCAGUUACAUCUUCGCACGCAAGGAAGUGCCUGACAGUUGGGACCCACCUAGUCGAAGCGUACGUAGCGUUGUCAUUCUGGUCGUGAACAUGUAUGUACAUACUGGUCGAUCGGUCUGUCUGCAGGCUGUAGUGAUGAACCGUGGCCGUGUAAGGAAGGGCACGUGUCGUAGUAGAGGCGCGCACGUAGCAUGUACACGUACGUAUAGCCAGGGUGCAAUAAAGUAAAUACGACCACGUACGUACAUACGGGCGGGGUCUCGAACGCCUAAUCGCGCAUACGUACGGCCAGGGCUCGUGUACAUGGCUGGGUCGGAACGGAGAAACUACGUUGUCGUCAUGUUCAUGGGGAGGCAACGGAAUGCGUCGUGUUCAUCGGGAGGCAACGAAAUACGUCGUGUUCAUUGGGAGCAACCGGCUUGGAUGAAACAGCCGAUCGAAUGAGUCCUGGCACACCACAGAACAAAGGGAACGGCUUUGUGUUCGACCGGCCACGGUCGAAACGGGAUCCUGUUCAUCGGGAGGGGUCUGGCGUACCGCAAAACAGAGGAAACAGACUUCUGUUGGACCUCCUACGGUUGAAACAGGGUCCUGUUGAUCGGGAGGGGUGUGGCGUACCGCAAAACGGAGGAAACGGACUUGUGCGGGAGCGCUACGGUCGAAAUGGGUUCUGUUCAUCGGGAGGGUUGUGGCGUACCACAAAACGGGACUCCACGGGAUACUGUUCAUCUCCACCGUCGACCUCCUCCAGCCUCCACGGGCUACUGUUCAUCCACCGUCGACCUCCUCCAGCCUCCACCUGCGACUGUUCAUCCACGGGCUCCUGUUCAUCCAGCCUCCACCGCUCCUCCACCGGCUACUGUUCAACCAGCCCUCUCCACGGGGUCCUGUUCAACCACCCCUCCACGGGCUAGUGUUCAUCCAUCCCUCCACAGGCUACUGUUCAACCAGCCCUCCACGGAGUCCUAUUCAUCCAGCCCUCCACGGGGUCAUGUUCAUCCACCCCCCCCCAUCAGGAACUGUUCAUCCAACACCCCCCAACAAUGCUCACUGUUCAUAAAGAGGCAGCAUUUUCGAUCGGCUUCAAUUAGCAGGAGUAGCGAAGGAAUCGCUCGAUCGGGUUCAGUUAACAGCCAUCGAUCGAUCGCUCGGGUUCAGUAACGCGUAGCCUGCAGUGCAAUCGCUCGGGUUCAGUAGGCGAACGCCUCGCUCGGGUUCAUUUAGAGACUAACGCCUCGCAACCACGUUCGUAUGUGUAUGAGACAAACGUGCAUCGCUCGGCCCCCGACCACCCACCUUAACCGAGAACUCUCCGAUAUUUUCCUCGCCCUCGCUUCUACCACAGUUUUUUUCCGUCAUGGACGGCCCAAAGAAUGUCAUGCAGCUGCGUCUCCAGCCCGCCCAGGACGAAAAGCCCAUUUUCUGUCAUGAUUUUUUGUCAUAGAAGUAGGAGGCCACCACAUCCACAAUGAUACCGGUUUUGUCACAAUUAUCGUCAUAGGAAGUGUCAUAAGCAUGACAGAGAAAAAAAUUGUUCGGCCCAAAAUGUCACGGAUGUGUCUUUUUUUGUAGUGUACCCACGAAUACUUGUCAACCUCACAAUCCCAUGAGUUGACGAAAUGAGCACUAGAGAGCAAUGAUGAUUUGGGAUCCUGUGGAUUGGUUUUCACACCAUUUCCAUUGCGCAAUGACUUCACGCAUUUCUUCUACAUGGCCCUCACAUGGUUAUGGGUUGUUGUCCACUACAUAUUCUAUGCCCAUCUUGCCAUGUUCACUUUGCAUGAUAUGAUCAUUCCUACGCAUUUGCCAUGCAUUUGUAACCCAUGCUUUGCAUUACAUAUGAUGAUUGAUUCUCAUACUUGUAUGUGUAUUUGCAAGUUUGGUGGAGAUAUUGCUUGUUAUUGCCAUGUUCCAUUUGUGACCCAUACCUAUGAUGAUACUUUGACCAUGGUUUGCUUUCUUGCUUGCGAUAUGUGAUGUGCAUUGCCUAUAUCCACUAUUUGCUUACAUGACAUGAUUGCCAUUGUUUCCUCUAGUGUGUUUCAUCUUUGCUCCACUAGUUUGCAUGACAUGAUCAAUUGCUAUGUUGCAUCACACCAAUGAUUCAUACUUGCUCGUUUCAUGCGGUUGAUAGCCCCUAUUGCCAUGCUUUGCACAUGAUUGAUAUUUCUUGUUGGCAUAUGUCUCCAUAUGUUGCCUCUCUCAUGCUAGAUAAUUUGACAUGUAUUGAGUGCAACAAUGAUUAUGGUCUUGCUCAUGAGAUUGCCCCCAUAGCAUUCUUGCAUAUAUUUUGAGAUUUUGACCUAUUUCUUGUGAAGCAUGAUUGCCUUUCUUCUUUGCACCAUAUGCCUACGGACAUGAACAUUAAGAUUGUUGCAUCAUAUUCUUCAUGCACUUAUGCUUAUAAUGGUUAUGUGCAAAAGAUGAGAACCAUCAUGAUGGAUGAUGUGUUUAUCUACCAUGCACAUAUGUUCUUUGUUUGUUGUGUGCAUGUGUAGGAUACUUCGACUUGGUGUCAACUUCCACUUCCCGAGAGUUAACCAUUCGAGCUCUUAAGAGCGAACCAACUUCGCUCAUGACGCUUCUACAUCAUACUUUCUUGUGCUUCGGCAUUGUGAAGGACGCACAAGGGCAUGCUUUCAAGGUGAUAUCCUUCUCUUUUGAGAACCCCCAAACCAUGAGCAUGAAUAUUGUGGAUCCCACUUCAUGUGUUGCUUGCACAUUGACAUAAUGCACACAUGCUAGAGGUCUUGCUUCGACUUAUCAUUGCCACAUUACCAUGCCUCAUGACAUACAUACCUUGUGUGUUGCAUCCAAUACUUAGAUUACUUGUUACUAUCAUAUGCUUGGUUGCAACAAUGUCAUUUCUUCACAUAUGCCAUGUCCCAUUGCUUGUCACAUGAUUGACUUGUUUGCCUCACACAUGAUGUACAAUUGCUCUUUCUAUUAUUUCGAGUGCCACACUAUAUUCACUACACCCCAUGCAUGUUAUGCUUGGAUUGUCUUGCACUUGACCCAUGUGUUUAGACACUUCAUUUUAUUUGGUGUUGUGAAUGUUUCCUAUGCCUACCACAGACCUUUCAUCGAGCGCUUUGUGCAUGCUUGCUAUGAUCUUGAGGUAGAUGCUUGUUCCCUUGUCACACAUAUUAGCAUCUCUACUUCUCAUUUGCAUGCUUGUUUCUAUGAUGCCCUUGAAUGUGCUAAAUUUAUGAGCUUACAUGCCAUGUCACAAACCUUUGUCACACCCUAUGCUAUGCUUGAUGACAACACUUGUUGGGUGAAUCACCUCUUGAAUGCUUGGUUUUGCACUAACGCUAACCACAUUCAUUUUCCAAGUGUUUGUUGUCCUUGAUCCUUUUGAAGGAAUCACAAGACGGUGCGGCAUUGGAGAGUGCCCAUUUUGAGCUUCGAGAUGAUGAAUGCUUGGUGAUCGUCCACUGCUACACGGCGAUGCCAUCCCUUUCCCAUGGUGAUUUGCUUUUUGAUCCGAGGACAGAUCUUUCCCAAGGGGGAGGGGAUGAUGCGGAGCAUCCUACGGACAUCACCAUGUUAAGAGUCCAUUUGGCAAGUGACACGUACCACAUCUACUUCACAAACACAAAGGUGAAUCAUCUCCUUUACACCUGUUCACUUGACCCCUUCGAGGAUGGUAUACUACUUGACACUCCUCUCGUGUGCAUGCAUAGGUAUUAUCAGAGCACCACGAAAGACGAGGAAGAGUGCAAGCGCAAGUGUAUGCCUACACCGUCCGCGAGGGAGGCUUGGAAGCGACGACGGAAGAAGACGGUACAACAGACAAAACAAUGCAAAAUUUGCACUACCGGACUGUCUGGUCCAUCCAGUGAGCAGUUUUGGUCCAUGCAGGAAUUGCACUACCGGACAGUCUGGUCCCCCAAGCGGACAGUCCGGUAGUACAUUUUCUGGACGCCCAAAAGUUUCUGUUUCCACCGGACUGUCCGGUCCCCCGUACCGGACUGUCCAGUAGUGCAUCUGCGGGCCGGAUUUGGGAAAGGCCCAUGUAACUUUACCCUUUGGCCCUCACUUACCCCUUCCUUGCCUUGGACCUAUAUAUAUCCCUCCUUCUCCUCCAUUUUAGUGUUAGCUAAGAAUCACUACAAAAAAAUACACUUCCGUGAUGAUAUGUGUUUGUCACAGUAGGUCGCGUUUUUUGUCAUGCAUGUACAUCCAUGACAAAUUUAUGACAGAAUCAAGAUAGUCAUACCUGUGCUGUCGUAGAAGUGUUCCAUGACAUUACAAAAAUUAUCAUCACGGAAGUGUCCACUUCCAUGAUGAUAAAUCGCGCGUCACAGAAGUGCUUUCGUCAAGGGUGACCGACACGUGGCAUCCACCGUAACGGAACGCCGUUAAGCUAUCGGGUCAGCUUUUGGAUCCGAUAGACCAAUGGGAAUUUUCCAUGUGUAAAAUCAUCAUUGGCUGGAGGAAAGACGUGUCGACUCAUCGUUGGGACAGAUGUCAUCCACUCGUUGGACAGAAGGCGCCUAUGAUACGUCGACACGUGGCACGGCCCAAUAGAGGCCCAUUCCUAUGAAAAGGCCAGCCCGUUUGACUUGGUCAAAAGGUGGCGGGCCGGCCCAUGGAAAGCCUGUUAACGGCCUGUUCGCAUAUAGCCCAUUUACAGCCCGCUAACCCAAGGCCCGUUACGCCCUCUCCGAAUUAGGCCCAGUACCGUCAUCUGGGCCAUCCAAUAUGAUUCUAGCCCGUUUUCACUUCUGGCCCAUGUAUGGCCCAUGACGUCUUUCGGCCCAUAUGAGGCCCUAUGUAACUCUUGGCCUAUUAACGGCCCGUGGUGAAACUGGCCUGUAAUGAACAGUGUAUCACUUUACACCCAGUAACAGCCCGUGGUGAAACUAGCCCGUAAUGAAUAGUGUAUCACUUUAUACCCAUUAACGGCCCGUUAUUCCGUUGGGCCGUUUCCAGCCCAUGUUAUCUUUGGGCCUUCUCAGAUCCCAUUUAUUCUUGGGCUCAUUUCCAGCAUUCGUAUACUUACGGCCCGUUAUUGUCAUUUUCUGCUUGUGGGCCAAAUUCAGCCCGUGGUUACAGUCGGCCCGUUUGUGGUCUGUUAAUACGUUGGGCCAUUUUCAUAGCGUCAUCAAAUACGACCUAUUAACGAUGACCCGUUAUGGUCGGCCCAUGAACGGACGAUUUCAACUCUAGCCCGUUUACGGCCAUAAUGCGGUCUGUUUGGCCCAUGUUUGGCCAAUCGAUCAUACAGCCCGUAUAAGGCCCAUUGAUGAUAUGGCCCGCAGAAGGCCCAUUGUUUCUACGGCCCGUAGAAGGCCCAUUGUUUCUACGGCCCAUAGAAGGCCCACUGUUUCUACGGCCAGUAGGAGGCCCAGUGUCACUACAGUAAAUAUUAGCCCAUGGUUAUUGUGGCCUAGUUUUAAAAAAUAGGUUAUUGCAGCCACUAGCUAACCACGGAAAAAGAACUGCAAUUACCACCAGCAAACAAAUAAACAAGACAACAAGGAAAUAAAUAAGCAAGCAACUAGCGCUAGGCUAUCACGGCUAUUACACAUAUUACAUCCACUGGGCAUCAAAGUCCGCCACCAGUGCAAAUAUAGGGAACAAAGCAGCAUAUCAUAUACACUGGUUGUCAAAGUUGGCGACCAGUGCAAAUAAACGCCGCAGCAAAACAAAUCCAGAACUGAAACCACUUCAGAAGAUUUCAAGAAACAAUAUCCUGGGUACCCAUAAUGCUGGCAAGAUGCUUAGCAAGCUUAUUAACUUUCUCUUGUUUGGCGCUUAAAUCCUCCAGCUCUUGCUGUUGCACCAGAAAAUAUGCAUCUGAAUUCUGCAGGGACUUCCUUGGUCCUUCAGCUUCCUGUCGCAGCACAUCUGAUCAAUGUCUUUCAACUUGAAGUUGAGACUCAAGAAGACGAACUGAUUCAGGCAGCGAGUUCGAAGAACUUGUGCCAGCAGUAGUGGCCAGUAACUCGAACACUACACCAAGACAGGACUUUUGGGUUUCCUCACUGUCCUCAAGAUAGUUUUUAUCAGCUUUCUUGGAGACCAACAGGGAUGUCUCACUAUCUUGAACCUUAUCUACAUUACUUCCUUUACCAUUGGAUAACGCGGUACUGUUCUCCAAUAUUUUGUCCGCAUUCUAAAAGAGAAACAAGCAGACACAUCACAUGUUUACCAUGUUGUAUAUGAAACUCAUUUUGGUAAAUGAGUUCAGUAGUAAAGUGGACAGGAUAACAGCAUGAAACAAACAUAUAUCUAUGUACCAUGGUCACUUUAUGGUCUAUAUCAUUCUAGUUUUUGUUGCCAAAUCAAGAUAGAGACACAGUUCAAAUAAUAUUUGUUCAAGACAAAGCAGAAUAGACAGAAUAUAAGUGUGGGUAACUAUUGAGCAAUAACAACACUUGUAAUGUGCAUGACAUGAGAACAUAACUAUUUAUUCAAUUGAAACUGAAAUCAACAUAGAGCAGGUUACAAAAGCAAACGAGUUAAAGAAACAGGUUUAAAACAUACCUGUUGCGCCAUUGGAGUUUCAAUUCCAUCCUUCAAAUUUGAAAAUAGUUGGUAUGAGUAAAUACAGUAAUGCAAGAGCAAAGGAGUAUGAACCAUAGCUACAGAACCUGACCUGAGAACAAAUCUUCUUCUCCUUUAAGCGUUGAGUUGGGAUUCGGAGUGGUGGUCCUUGUGCUUUGGGCACUGCAGUUCCCUUACUAACUGCUCGUGUUUGGGUGCUCUGUGGUGGAGAUGGUGUUGUGUCAACUGGAACUGGGUUACUAUCUGCCGGGGUUGGGGUUAGAAGGGGUGUAGCUGGUUCUCUGUCCAACUAGGAAGGGGUACAAUCUGCGAGAGUCUGGAUUAUGUGUGGUGGAUCUGGUCCUUGGGCAAGUACAACCGUGGUUCUAUCUGCAUCACUGGUAGCACUAUCUUUUCUGAAGACCGUGUUGUUACUCCCUUAGAGACUGCCAUCACGCUCUCCAAUUCAAAUGGCUGAUAAACAAGAAAAGUAAUUGAAAGUAUAGACAUUGUAUGAUAGACAGGUGCAAUGGAUAGUGGGGAAUAAAAGAGGGCAUGAAAUAAUUCAUAUUUAUGUUGUCUAACCAAACAGGAUAGCAUGACACACUUUCACAUAUAUGAUGGCUAACUAAACAGGAUAGCAUGACACACUUUCACAUUACGAUGGCUAACUAAAAAAGAUGGAAAGACAUAGUUCAAAAUAUGAGACUAUGUAAACAGGAUGACAUGACAUAACUAUAUAAUGUGUUUAUUAAAUAGGUUGGCAUGCCAUAAUUCACAUACAUUCACGGAUAGAAUGCCAUAAUUCAAAAUAUGAUGACUGUAAACACUAAACAGGAUGAGAUGAUAUAACUAUAUGAUGUCUUUAUUAAAUGGGUUGCCAUGCCAUAAUUCAGAUAGAUGUUGUGUAUGUACUAUGUAAACAUGAUGGCAUGAUAUAAUUCAAAUAUAUGAUUUAUAUAGUAAGCAAGUAAGCAGAUGGCAAUCCAUAUAUGAUGUAAGAACUAAGCAAUGCAAGACAACAUGCAUGACAUGGGUAAUAUAACCCUGCCAAGUUUGAGCAUAGACCUCAGGGGGGAAAUAGGACUGGUCAUCAGUCUCUGAAUCCUCCUCUGAGGAGCUCUCUGUAACCAGCAAGAUGUCUGCUUCAGCAGGUAGCAUUGUCUGCUCUGAAUACCUUGUUUUCACUCCAGACACUUCCAUCACCGCUUCAAAUGGCUGAUGCACAGGAAGAGUAGUUGAAUAUACAAACGUUGUCGACAAAUAGAACACGUAAUACAAAAAAAUGAUAGCAUGAUAUAAUUCACAUACAUGAUGAUUGGCUAAACAGCAUGGCAUUGCAUAAUUCACAUAUAUAAUGCCUUUGCAACAAGAUAGCAUUGUAUAAUUCACAUAUAUAAUGUCUUGCAACAAGAUGGCAAUGCAUAAUUCACAUAUAUGGUAAUUAGACACUGGACAGGUGGCAUUCACAUAAAGCAUGUCUAAACUAAUCAAAUGACAUAGCAAUGCGAGACACCAUACGCAUGAUAUGAGCAACAUAACCCUGCCAAGUUAGAGCAUACACCUCGGGGGGGGGGGAUAGGACUGGUCAUCUGUCUCUGAAUCCUCCUCUGAGGAGCUAUCCGUGACCAGCGAGAUAUGCGGUUCGUUAGAUAGCAUAGUCUGCUCUGAAGACCUUGUUUUCACUCCAGAAUUUGCCAUCACCGUGUCAAAUGGCUGAUGCACACGAAGAGCAGUUGAAUGUACUAACAUUGUUGACAAAUGUAAUAUGUAACGAAAAAAAGGAUGGCCUGAUAUAAUUUACAUAUAAGAUGACUGGCUAAGCAGGAUGGCAUUGCAAAAUUCACAUAUAUGAUGCCUGGCUAAAUGAUGGCGUUGCAUAAUUCACAUAAACGAUGAAUAAACUAAACAGAUGGCAUUCGCACAAAGGACGUCUAAACUAAGCAGAUGACAUAUUUGAUGUAUAAAGUAAGCAAUGCAAGACACCAUAUGCAUGAUAUAACCAACAUCAGCAUGCCAAGUUAGAGCGAAGACCUCAGGGGGUAAAUAGGAGUUUUCUUCUCCUUCUGAAUCCCCCUCAGAACAGAUAUCUUCCUCUCGAUUACAAUCCAAAAUGCGUGGAGGGGGGGCUGCCUUUGCGCCUACCAUGGAGCGACGUCUGCAUGAAAUUUUAUUUCCACGCAAGGCUCGUCUCUUUUGCUCUACAUGUUCAGUUCCAUUGUAUACAAUAACUGUCAUGCAUAGGAAUAAAACAUAGUGAGAUUAUGUAAGGAGUGCAUGCAGAAAUCCAGAGUGAUGGUAGCAACCUAUGGAUAGACCCAAAACCAAUAAUAGCAGGCAGAUAAUGGCUUCAGUUAAAAAAUACAGAUAAUGGCUUCUUUACUGUUUGUUUCCCACCCAACAUGAAACUCAUAGUAGACACCGGAGAUUAACUAGAUAGUAGAUAGAUACGAUUGAUAGCGGCCCCGAUAUGUACCCCACAACCAUUUAAAAACUCAAGUUUGACCAUUAGUUUGGAGCUGACUCAGAGUCUAAUCGGUGAACAGGACAAUAAAGUAGCAUGUAAUAUUAAGCGAUGCAUAACGUACGCAGACACGAAAGAGUGCGACCUCUCUUGCGGACCCGUGUAGUCCUCGAGGUCAUCUACUCGGUUGAUGAUGGUAAUGCAGUUUUCAUGGUUGCCAGCGGCGGGGAAGAAGAUCUGAGGCGGCGAAAGACAGUCUGGAGGCCGGAUCCCUGCUGUGCUGGACCCUUCUGUCGUUGGAGCAGCUGAGCUGGGGUGGACGACGGCGCAGCAGGAGCGGGACAAACCAUGCAAGGUUUUCUUUGACAACUAUCUGUAAGAGAAGUAAUUCUGUAAGGGCUCGUUUGAAUUGGAAGAUUCCAACAAUGCAGGGAUAGGAAAUAGACAGGAAUAGGAUAGGAAUGCACAUGCAAAACAGAGAAUUUAAAAACACAGGAUUUCUGCCAAUCUGGGUGUUUGAUUCACAACAAUUGGAGAUCACAGGAUGCAAAGAAGCAUGGUGAGAUUAAGUCAAACCACAAGAAGAUGUACGGUUAUAAUGCUAUUAUGCUACUAUCUCUUAGUCUUGUGCUUCAUGAAUAGGAAUUUGAAAAGGAGGACAAGUGAAAAUUAAAAUUCCUACGUUUUUUCUUUCAUGGAGACACUAAAGGAACAAAUCCGUGUGCUCAGUGGACAAUAUAUAUAACAUGUAGAGUAAAAAAGAGAUGCAACAAGUGUACAACCUCUUUGGCGAAGCCAUGUCGAUCUCAGCGUGAUUGGGUUGGCCAGUGAGGAUGCUCCGGCUGACUUUGCUGUCGGAAGAGGGGAAGAAGAUCUUAGGCGUCUGGAGAUGGAGCCCGAGGUACUGCUCCGCUGUGAUGGAGGGUUUCGUCGUUGGAGCAGCUCCGGUGAGUUGUACGACGCCGAGGCUGAAGCAGGACAAGAGAGACAAUGAACAACGUUAACAUGAGUGGAAUUCUAAUAGCAUGUCCAAUACAUGACGUAAAAUACAUAACCACAAAGUGCUAGAUGUAACAUACAUCAGUCGCUCAUCUCUAAACUUAACUAUCGAAACUGAACUUAACUGUCGAAACUGAACUUAACUGUCGAAACUGAAUUUUGCUGUCGAAACUGAAUUUUGCUGUCAAAACUGAACGCACUAGCAAGGUGAGGCUACACGUCGGUCGACUGACUUUUUCAUCUCUGGUCAGUCGAUUUUACAGCCGUUGGAUACGAAAUCAAGGGCCUGCGGUUCAUCUUCAACCUCCACCCCCUGAGCCGCCAGCCACCACCGGCCAAACAGCAGCCCCCCGCCGCCCCGCCCGCCCUGAAAACACUCCCCACCGCCGGUCCGCCGCCGCCCCGGCCAUCCCUCUAGGCCCCCCCAGUGCCGAGCUUUUUCUCCGGCGAUCCCCACGCCAGCGCCCCGCCAGCGCCCCGCCACCGCCGGCGACCACCGCCCCCAUCCUGAACCCUAAGAUAGAUAGUGGAGUACCUCUCCGGNNNNNNNNNNNNNNNNNNNNNNNNNNNNNNNNNNNNNNNNNNNNNNNNNNNNNNNNNNNNNNNNNNNNNNNNNNNNNNNNNNNNNNNNNNNNNNNNNNNNNNNNNNNNNNNNNNNNNNNNNNNNNNNNNNNNNNNNNNNNNNNNNNNNNNNNNNNNNNNNNNNNNNNNNNNNNNNNNNNNNNNNNNNNNNNNNNNNNNNNNNNNNNNNNNNNNNNNNNNNNNNNNNNNNNNNNNNNNNNNNNNNNNNNNNNNNNNNNNNNNNNNNNNNNNNNNNNNNNNNNNNNNNNNNNNNNNNNNNNNNNNNNNNNNNNNNNNNNNNNNNNNNNNNNNNNNNNNNNNNNNNNNNNNNNNNNNNNNNNNNNNNNNNNNNNNNNNNNNNNNNNNNNNNNNNNNNNNNNNNNNNNNNNNNNNNAAAAGUCGAUUCAGUCGACUGAAGUGUAGCUAAAUCGGAGCAGCAUCGCAAGCAAGAGCAAGAGCGAGAGCAGCAGCGCGAACAAGAGCAAUAGAAAGAGCAGACCAGGCAGAGGACCGAGAGCAAGAGCAGAGCAGCAGCGCGAGCGAGAGCUAAAGCAGCAGCAGCUCCUACUGAUGUGGACGUCGCCGCCGAGGGAGCGACGCCGUGGAGGAAGUGGCCGGCGAUGCCGCCGUGGAUGGAGCCGCGCCGUGUCGACUCGGGACCGAGCGCCGGCAGCACCGUGAGAUCGAAUCAAGAAGAAAAUGCGGCGAUUAGUGUACAACCUCUUUGGUGGCGCCGAUUAGGCCGCAUCUUCAUCCGAGGAAACGGUGAUGAUGAUGCUCUUCCGGUGGUGCAGGUGAAGAUGGCGGUGUGGGAAUGGAGGUGGCGCAAAAGACGAGGGGAACGUCGGGGCAGCUCCUUGGAGGUGGAGGACGGGGUGGCUGAACCGGCGGGACGUUGAGAUCGACGAGAGAUCCUCAUCCGGUACGGUGGAUGAGGGACGUCGAGGUGUUGCUGUGGACGACGUCGUCGGGGAAGAGGCUCUGGCUGGGUGGCGGACGGAGCAGGGUGUGGGGAUUCGUCGCGGGUUUUCGCGGCGUCGGUGUACGAAUGGGUGGGCGGAUGGGAUGGCAGUGGGGAACCAUGGCUUAGAGAUGCGCUUGUCUGAAAUGUGGGGUAAGUUACAAAAGUACCCCCACCGAUUUGAGGCGGUUCUUUCGGUUCAGGGGUACCACGGGCAUUUCGCAUGUCGGGAUUUCACAGGUGGUGGGAGUUUUCACGCACAUUGUAAUUUCGGAAUAGCAAGGCACGGGUUGAGAUGGAGGGAGUUGUCGGAGCACAACGAGACAAAGAUAUAUCUUAAAUAUUUCGGGCUAACAAGGCGCGGGUUGAAAUUUCUGGACAAGCCUAACAUGUACUGUACCAAAUCAAUGUGCACUACAAAUGUCACUCAAAACUUUGAAUUCAUGUUAUGUUCAAUUAAAAUAUUUCGCUACGUGUAUAAUGCAUGCAACCUACUACUCAAAUGAACGUUUUAGUGCAUUCCAAACGUAUAUACUACCGCUUCAAUAUGAACUAAAUUUGAAUUUGUUUCUCUAUUUGAAUAAGAUCUACAGUAAUGAUUGUUGUGAAGUCAAAGCAUUUGAAUUCGUUUCUCUGUUUUAAUAAGAUCGACAAGCAUCAUUAUUGUCAAGGUAAACCAUCGUUUGUGUAUUAUCUUCACAGCACACCACAUGAUUAGUCUCGAGUUACAUAUGAACUAUGUGUACUAUAUGAACUCGAACUAGAUUUUUUGAAUCCACUUUAUUUUGAUUUCAAAUCACAUUACAUUUCUAGCUCUAGCUAGAUCUUCAUAAUCUAAACCAUGUCUCAUAUGUAUAAUGUGUUUACCACAUUAUGUAUGGUGCCCCGCCCCCUACGCCUACAAGUAUUUAGAUGUGAGUUGCAAACACCACACAUUACCACAAAUUCAAAUAAAAUGUGAGAAUGUUCGAUAUAUAGUAUUGUUUAGAUUGUUCGAUAUUUAGUUGUAAGCUGCAAACGCCACACAUUAUCACAAAUUCAAAUAAAAUGUGAGAUUUUUUGAUGUAUAGUAUGGUUUAGAUUGUUCGGCAUUUAGCUGUGAGUUGCAAACGCCAUGCAUUAUCACAUCAUGGUAUAACAUGUGCACAACACGUGUAUCACCGCUAUAUUCAUGCAUGCAAUGUUUAAAACACUAUGAUCUCCUAUUCAAAUAUAUGAAUCCGCUUUCAUAUCAAAUUAUGAUCUUUGUUAGUCUCUUACACCCACACAAUCCUCUAACCUUUGUAGCUACCACUAACUUUCUCUCGUGCAUGCACACGCCCUCCUCGCCCUCCCCCUCCCUCGGCAUUCUAUCCACCGGGCACAUUCAUUUUUUUUCUUUAGGUCGUUCUCCCAGAGUCUCCACAACUCCUUUUCGACACACACCAAUCGAUAAACCUCUCCAACGAUGCCUGCCUACAACAUACACACACACCUUCAAUCUCGUCCUUUAUGUGUCCUUGCCUCGUGUCUCUCAUACGGUCAGACACACAUGUAAACUCUCGCCCCUCUUUUCAUCGAUCUCACAACCACACACUCCUCCCCCUAUCUAGCUAGUAGUUGGGCCUCUCGCACCACCUCCUAGCUCCAUUCUCUCCGUCUAUCCGUCUCGCUGGGCCUUAUUUGCCUCUAACAAAUGGACGUACACUGACCGAUCUCUCGCUAUACAUAUAGCUAGCUAGGUCCUUAUAACUCGUUUUUACCCACACGUCAAUCGAUCUACCUCAUUAGUUGUGUCUCUCCCUUCCUCCGACAAACAACAAUUGAUCUACCGAUCUAGUUAGGUUUGCUUACCAAACACAUGGUUCCCGUUCAUCAUCCAUGGAUGCAUCCCGACAGAUCUAUCACUCACAGGCACACACAGAAACACAUCCCCACUCUUAUUGAUAACAUUGCAGUUCCACCCUCAGUUUGUCUAGUAGGCCUUUCCCACCAUCUUCGAGAAGCAACUCCAUCACCCAUCCAACACUCUACCCCUCUCCCUCCAUCUCCCUCCCUCUCUCUCUCCUCUCUCUCUCUCUCUGUCCCAUCAUAUUUCCCGUCCUUCAGUUAUGUAUGGAUGUCAACCGAUCUCCCUCAAGACAUAGCUGGGUCUCUCCUUCUCAACACAUAUACGAGUCGUUCUANNNNNNNNNNNNNNNNNNNNNNNNNNNNNNNNNNNNNNNNNNNNNNNNNNNNNNNNNNNNNNNNNNNNNNNNNNNNNNNNNNNNNNNNNNNNNNNNNNNNNNNNNNNNNNNNNNNNNNNNNNNNNNNNNNNNNNNNNNNNNNNNNNNNNNNNNNNNNNNNNNNNNNNNNNNNNNNNNNNNNNNNNNNNNNNNNNNNNNNNNNNNNNNNNNNNNNNNNNNNNNNNNNNNNNNNNNNNNNNNNNNNNNNNNNNNNNNNNNNNNNNNNNNNNNNNNNNNNNNNNNNNNNNNNNNNNNNNNNNNNNNNNNNNNNNNNNNNNNNCACUGAUACAUCGAGCGCUCUAGUCAUGUCUCCCUGCCACACACAAACUUGACAUGUGCCCUCUAACGUUCCGGUAGGCCAGUCGCCCUAUAUCUUUGACUUGCACACACACAAUUUCGAUGGCUCUCUUCAUCGAUCUCGCACCCACCCACUUGAUCCUCUCUUCGACUCUAUCGAUAGCUAUGACCCCUCCCUCUCUUCUCGUGGAUUGCCCGACCCUCUAUGUAUGAUAUGGAUAGGCCUCCAUUUCACACACAUUGCAUGCAAAAAUUUGUUAGAGAUGUCAUCGACACAUAUUCCCACAAAUAAUUCACGAAAUCAACCCUCACCCCACCCCCUACCCCAAAACAAAAAACACUCACGAACGCGGUUUGUAUCUCUCACACACACCCACGUAGGUGGGGGACGUGCACGAAGAGAAGAGGUGCAUGCACGGCGCACGUACUCCCGUCUCUUUCCCAACCACACCCGCGCGGGUACACGGUGGAGCUCAUUUCUGUACGAAAAAGGUAGCCCACGUGGUAAUUUGGCACGUGUACUGGUUGUCCACUUGGUGGAGGGAGGAUCGUCUACCACGGGUGAACAAACAAAUUGCGACUUGACGUGUUAUGUUCAAAAAGAGGCAAACCAUGUGGGGCCUACCUUAGAGGCAAGGCUCUAUACACUGGAGUACUUUUGAUGUGUCCCGUCAACUCGCAGAACCAGGAGAAGCUUGCUUAGUACGCCGUCUCCCCCGCCCACGGGCGCGGUGGCUUGCAGGAUGAGGUGAAGCUUGCUCCGCCUUACGCCCGCUCCCUCGCCCAUGCGCGCGGUGGCUCGCAGGAGGAGGAGAAAAAUUUACUACUCCCUCCGUUUACUCCUCGUCCCUACUACCUUGGUUAUAGAGAUUAUAUCAUAUUGUUUGGAAUAUAUAUGUCCUUUAGUAAAUUUCAAUAUGAACUACUAGUACAUACUCCAAACACUGAUGUAUAUAGACGUAUUUUAGAGUGUAGAUUCACUCAUUUUGCUCCGUAUGUAGCACUCUCCCUCGCCCCUCGACCCUCGCCCACGUGGUGGGCAUGCAGCAAUUCAUUCGGUCUCAUAUAGCCAGAACGAUAUAUACUGCACUACCAUUAUUGCUUGACUUCCCGAAGAGGCAAAGAGCCAAUCGCAAGGUUAAUAUUUUGGAGAUGCCAAGCGCAAGGUUAUAGGAGAACGAGUAGUAGGUGCCGCGUCAUUUAUAAAUAAAGUUUUUUUCUUCCGUGGCACGUAUGCAAUAUGAUAGGUUCAUAUCGAGAGAAAAGGAAACCGCUCCACUAUAUACAUAGUCAGGACGGGCCAGCCUACACGGUUGCUUGUUGGGGUUGCUCUCUUCACACUCUCUCGCACAAAAUGACUGUGGCCACAUCUCUAACAUCCCGGCGGAUCACGUCCGCUUGGGGAAGGGGUGGAUGCUUAGUGUAGAUGCGGUGGCCGUCGCCGACGGCGAAAACCCACUGUCGGCAUGUCCCGAUCAGGGGUCCCCGCCAUUCUCUCUCAUAAUGCCAGUGAGGUUGCAUUCGUCCCUUGCUCACUGCCGCGACAUGGGCAGUUGCCGCCUCCCGCCGCCCUCCUCAAGGUUGAGCUACGUCCCUCAGGUACAACUCCCUUUACAGUCGGCUUGCACCACUGCUCCAGCUGCCCACAUCACUCCCUGUGGAUAUUUCUCUACUUCUUUGCCCCGCACAUACCUCUACUGGCUUCUACGUACUGUAUUUGUGAUGAGUUUAUGUCUCACCAACUAGUCCCAGUAAUAUUAUUCUAAUCACGCUUCUUCAAUUUCUUUGCCACAGGGAUGCUCAGCUCGAUUUUGGUGAAACUGCACAAAAUGAUCCGAUGGUCAAAACGUUGCAAACUUCAUUUAUUAGGAAGCUCGAACGUUGCCAGCAAAUUGAAGCCUAGUCAGGGUUCACGGUUCAAGGGCUAGGGACUGCAUGGAUCAUUUUUUUCUUUAGCUGCCUCUGUUCCAAAAUAAUUGUCAACUUUAGUAGUAGUACAACUUUGUACUAAAGUUUGCACAAAGUUGAGACACUUAUUUUGGAACAGAGGGAGUACAUAUUUGCUAUGAUCUGUCAAUCAUUGAGAUGCAAUAGCAUGCAUGUUAGUCUCCUUUGUAUUUGAUGAAAUGUUGCAACGGGCAACCUCGGACGCAAGAUACAUGUAACAGAAGCUGGAAGCUUCAUAGCAUUGUACAAAUUUAUCUCGCUGAUAAAUUACAGUAUGUACUAUACUAGUACUUCCUCCGUUCCUAAAUAUAAGUCUUUGUAGAGAUUUCACCAUGAACCACAUGCGGAUGUAUAUAGAUGCAUUUUAAGUGUAGAUUCAUUCAUUUUGUUCCGUAUGUAGUGGAAUCUCUACAAAGACUUAUCUACUAGUAAUAGCUAGCCCCCACUACUAGGAAUUCUCUAUCCUCUCCUUGAGCCACAUCAUCAAAAUUGAUGUAGCCGUUAGAUGAAGUAAAUCAGUCCAUAAUAGCCGUCUGGUCUAGACGUUGAGAGACUCCGCACAAAGCCACAUGCAAGCAUGCAGAAAUACCGUGGCACAUGCAUGUGAGUGGGUUUUAAAUCACAUCAACAUGUCUGCAUGCACCGGUAGCAUGCAUGUAAGUGAGCUUUUAAGUCCCAUUAACAUGUCCAAAAGAAAAGUAUAAUCCCAUUAUGCAGUAGGAGUUGGCUGAUCUUUUUUCCUUACGUGGGAUGAUCUAAAUGUUGAUGGGAGUUUAUUUAGUUUGGCUACCACAUUUGUCAUGCGGUUAUAGAGUUUUUUUUAGUUCUAUGAAAUCGAUAAUUUUGCGCAGAGAGAUAUACCGCUGUUCCGCGGCAACGCGCGGGGACUCAUCUAGUUAUAUUUAGGAAUGGAGGGAGUACUAUGUAAAGAGUUAGGUGUCGCACGGUGAUAGUGUGAGGUGGGCCAUGUAAUCACUAAGCCUGUGUGUUUUCACUGCUCUUGCACGCCUCCGCUGUAAGAAUGGAGAAAAUUGUAAUCGAGUAGUAGUACCUCCUUUCGCCGAAAGCGUGGGACAUCCAGCAGUCCUACCAUCUCAGUAAUAAAGACCAAUGAGCCAUCAAAUCACAUAGACUCAGUAGUAAGUUGGACGGACGAAGCAACCAUCACUCUUGCACCAGUGAGAGGUCGCGUCCGCUCUACCCGGGCAUGAAUGCGGCACCGAUUCUUUGGAGCGGCGCUGACCGUUUCGGGCGGGAAGCGCGCGCGGGCGAUGGAGGGGCUUUGGGUGGGCCAGGCUGGUCAGGAGCGGGCGUGGCAGCUGUCCACAUGUCCCUACCGGACACGCCUGGAAACGAGAGGAUGCACCGACUCUCGCGGCUAAAAUCGUACUACACUACACAACAUCUCUCUGUAGGAGUAGGUCGAUCUGUCGCUCUCUCUAACACAAACAUGCUGUUAAACACACACACACACACGCACAUGCAUGCACAUUGGUCCCGUUGCACCUUCUAACGUGACUUAUUACACCUAGAUGGAUGGAGUAGUAAGUAUACGAGAUACGGUGGCACACUGACUUAAGUCGAAUACAAGUGCGCAAAAUUUGUGUGCAUGUUAUAAUAAGGAUUCACUUAAAAUAGUACGUGAGCGAACAGAGGGAUCAAUUGGUCAGUGUUCCCGAGCAGUAGCGAGAUCUGUGAGGUAGGAUACACCGCUGGCACUUUUAAUUUUUCUUAUUAAUUUGUUUGUUUCACCCUCUGACUGGUGGGACCCAAUGUACUACGUGGAGAGAGGUAAGGUGACUAAGGCUGCAUUAUUUCUGCACCACUGUGGAUAGUCUUACCACCAAAGCCACAUGACACAAUUAUGAUUGAAAUCCCAAUGACUCCCACACACACAAAAAAAACACGGCAUGCUUGUCACACGAAUGCAGGAAUGUAUAAAAGGUUAUUUCCCUCUCGUUGAACAUAACGGGAGGGUUGUGUAGCUGGUUAGCCUGUUCGCUCGUCAAACUUGAGGUCUCGGGUGGAUUCUUUGACUAGUCAAAAUGUUUUCUAGGGUUUGCACGCUUCACACUCUCUCUCCAGUAUAUAUAUACAUGCUGGAGCCUCAGCGCUUGUAGUUGCUCUCUUCACACUCUCUCGCCCUCUCCCGCUGGAGCCUCAGCGCUUGUAGUUGCUCUCUUCACACUCUCUCGCCCUCUCCAGAUCUAAACAAGACUUCGUUGGCCUCUCUCUCCCCCCUCACUGCUGCUCAAAGAGCCGGCAGGAUCCAUCCGCCGGGAAGGGAAGGAGGCUUAACGCUGUCGCCGGCAGCUGUUCACUUUCCACCCAGCGGCGGCGCGGGAGGGCCUCCGACCCCUUCUUUACCGCCAUCCCGUCGCCCACCGAACCACGCCCCAAGAACCUUAAGGUAUAAUUUACUUACUCCACAUGCAUUGCUCUAGCUGCAUGUAUACCAUGAAUCUAGGACGUGGUUCAAAGAGGAAAGGAGUGGGGGAAAGUUGUGGGAAAAGUUGUAUAUAGCAUGAAUCUAGGACGUGGUUCAAAGAGGAAAUGAAGGGGCAAAGUUGUAUAGCAUGAAUCUAGGACGUGGUUCAAAGAGGAAAGGAAUGGGGGAAAGUAGUGAGGAAAGUUGUAUCGCAUAAAUCUAGGACGUGGUUCAAAGAGGAAAGGAAGGGGUGAAAGUACUAGUUCAAAAAGGAAAGGAAGGGACAAGGCUGUAGAGUUUGAGCAGGACUAGAUUUGCUGCGCUCACAUAGGGAAAGGUGUCUAAAGAUAACAAAACUGGGACCAACACAAAUAUGCUCCUUGGUUGUUUGUUCUUUGUUGCAACAGACUGUGCAUGACCACAGUACAUCGGUAGAUGCACAUGGUGCUGGUGCGUCCACUGUCCCGUGCAACUCAUUAGCUGUUGUUAAUCUAAGGCCCUGUUUGGUUAAAAACUCCCUAGUCCCUACCUGCUUGGUUCCAGGGACUAAACAUGGACUAGAGGUUAUUAAAUGACAUGCUAAAAGACCAUGUUACCCCUAGUAAUGAACUAAUAGAGACAAGGUGCGAUGCAUGGCAGGGGUAACUGUUGGAAAAAGUCCCAAAAAGACCCUCUCGGGGUCUUCUUUCUUUAGUCCCAAAUGCCCACUUUUAGUCCCUAAAAGUCCCUCCUGUUUGGUUUAGAUGGGACUGACACGGAGUUUUUUUAGUCCCUACACCAAAAUGUCCCUGUAAACAAACACCCUCUAAUAAUGCCGCUGGAAAAUUGAUGCAAUGCCACGGUUAAAAGCAAAUUACAUGUUUAACGAAUUUUAUUGUUAAUAUAAUCUCUAUGUUAAUAUUAAUCAAUGCCACCGUUUGAGAAAUGCUACUCUCUUGCUUUCUUUCCCAUUUAGAUAAGGUAGAUGCUUCUUUUUGUUGGCUUCUGUGUCAUCCACCGUUAUUGACCACUAAUUGUUUCCUUUGCACCUCUGUGUAAACAGGAUUAUCUACUUCACCUUGUUGCCAUUGUGACCUUUUGUUGCACUGCACAAAACACUUUUGUUUUAAGAGUGUUUUGUGCAGUUCAACCAAAAUGUCACACCGACAACGUUGCUUCAUUGCUUGAUCUUAGUGGAACUGUACAAGAGGAGAUCUUACUUCCUAUCCAUUAAGGCGAAUUUGGUUCAGAUCUUCUUCUUGUGAGUUGUUUGAAUUCCGCAUCAUGAGAGGUUAGUACUAGCCUUCUUUCACAUGAUUCUGCAGUGUGCUUUCAUAUGUUGUUCUACUUGUACGAUAAUGUUGCUUGAUUUUAGUGAACUGCAGAAAUGGAGACAAGACUUCCAAUCUGUAUGUGCACCGUAAUAUCCCAUUGAGUUUAGUACUAUACUUGUGCUCCCUAAUUGACAUGCCAAAUCUCACAUUGAAGGCGAAGCUUGUCUGUUAUUGAACCAAGUGAUGAAGGGGAAGAACAAGCGGAAGAAAAACAAAAAUCAACUCCCGGUGCUGUAAUGAAGCACUGGAACUAUGAUGACACAAGUAAUGAUAUAGUUUUGCAUCUUAAUUUAUUGCUAUGGCUGGAACGAGCAAUUGUUUUGCCACUGAUUUGAUGCCACUCUUAAUGUAAUAUGUAAUUAUCUCUACUUGUGCAAACAGGGAUCUUCUUUGAAGAUACCAUAUAUUUUAGUGCAACUGCACAAGAAGAUGUUGGAAACAUUAAACUAAUUGAGGAGUAUAUAGUAAGCAUGGCCACCAUCGUAGAUAGCAACAGAUGGUUCCGGAGAAGUGCUUCAUCUGUAUGCUCUACACAAUAAGCCUCCUGACAAAGGUUGGUACUCGCCCACUGAUUUCAUCCAUAUGAUUGAGCUUUGUCAUCUCUAUUGGUGUUGUGCUACUGUUUAGAUACUGUCAUGAAAAAGUGGUAUUGUCCUUGAGAAGUGCUUCAUCUGUGCUGUUUUAAAUAUUUCCUUUCCUUUUUUUCGAGCAAACAGGGAUGCUAGCAUUUAGUAGUCCUCUUGUCUUUACACAACAGGAUCAUCUUCCUCUGAAGAAGAAUAUGGAGUACGUGAAGUGACUAGUUCCGAUUAUGCCAGGAUGAUGAAGCCAGGUCUAUCUUCUCAUCAGAAGGAGCAGUUGAAGGAUGGUUACAUUACUCCCCACAAGACCAAACUAACUUCAGCUCAGAAGGACUGACAAAUCUCCAUUUUUUUGUUGUGAUGCGCGAGUACAAUGUUGUUCUAGGAUUCUUUCUGGUGAGUUCCAUUUUUCUAAAAGUGUGCUCUACAUGGACCAUGUAUGUGCCUGUUGAAACUGUCAAUUCAUAGUACAGUUUGCUUUAUACUAAUCACUUUUAUGUAUUUGUGCAAACAGGGGUGCUCAGCUUGAUUUCAAUGGGAACUGCACAAAAUGUUCAAGAAUACAUCGAAUCAUUCAUUUCCACCACAAGAAAGGAGGUGCCGAUAAGUUCAAGGCGGUGCAACAUAUGAGGGCGAAAUCAUACAAGAUACGCGCGAAUUUGGUUGAUUUUGGUGGAAUUGCACAAAAAGAACAUCUGGUUUAUUUAGCACGAGGUGCCAUGUCAAUGUCCGAACUGAUGGCAAACCCUGCCCAUUCCACAAUCGUAGGCAUUUGAUAUUUUGGAAUGGGACAACCUUGUCAAAUUUUGCUCAUUGAUUUUAGCAAGACAUGCGUUUCAUAUUUUUGAAUGGGACGCCCUUUGCUGUCAGCAGCGUCGAUCAAUUUUUUCUUUAUUCUUUAGUUGUGAAGUAAAUAUUGCCUCUGACAUGUGAGUCGCUGAGAUGCAUAAUCAUCGAUUGUUUUGAAUGUUCUCUAUGAAUUGCCAGGCCUGUGUGUUUGAUUGCAAUGUACAGAAACGCUAAAAAGCUGCUCAAACUCUUUGUACUCCUUCUGUUCCUUUUUACUUCGCACAUUGUGAAAGCACAUACCUUUUUGUAUAAAAUUGGUCAAAGUAGAGAUACUUUGACUGCAGACAAAACUUGUAUGCAGACAAGAAAGGACCGGAGGGAGUACAUGUGAAACUGCUGCAAACAAGGUGAUCACCCUGGGAAUAAUGCUAGUACGUAUUGUUUUGCAUGUUCAUCCAAUGCCAGUGAUAUAGGAAUUCGAACUAAUCGAAAUAAAUUCAUUCAUACACGGUCGGAUUUCAUAUAAACAUGCCGGAUUUCAUUACAUUUCAUACAUUCUUCAACUAAAAAGGGGUGCGUUGGAGGUAUAAUUAAUUAACCGAAGCUACCCACCCAUGUCCCGCUGAGCCGAACAGAAGCUUCAGUGACUUAACUGCAGGUGCAGUUGUGUAACUGACAUGUGGCCUAUUGGGCCCAUGUGUCAGUCAGCCAACUGCACCAGUAGUUAAGUAGAAGCAGCGUUCUUCUCCAGCGCAGCUCUCUGACUCCACGUCGCCGCCAAGAAGCUAACCGGCUGUCAAUGGUCAACCCACCUAGCUUGGCUUCAACCGUAGGGUAGCAGUGGUGGCCUUACUUGGACCCGAGUGGCGGCGACCUACCGUGUUCUACUCUUCCUCGUUUUCUGUGUGGUGCGGCCUUGUUGGCAGCGGGGCGGGGACUCGGCGGAGCCGGCGAUGUCCUCUGUCUCGUUGCCGGCGGGCGGCGCCUCAGCGGAGCGGUGGAAAUCCUCCCCCACAUUGCCGGCAGGGUGGGGCCUCGGCUAAGCCGGCGAUGUCCUCUGCCUCGUUGUUGGCGGGGCGGGGCCUCGGCGGAGCCGGCGGUGUCCUCUGCCUCGUUGUUGGCGCCACGGGGCCUCAGCGGAGCACGGCCUCGUCGACGCCAGCGGAGCGGGGACUCGUCGGAGCCGGCAUUGUCCUCUGCCUCGUCCUCGGUCUCGCCAAACAGCGCCUCGCCCGCUUCAUCGCCCUCUUCGCUAGCCUCUUUGUAGGCGGCCGCAGCCUCCGUCACCCGCAUGCGGUACCGCCAGCGCUCGAGGCGGCCCUUGCGGGCGGAGCGGUACGAGUCGAGCAGCGCCUCCUGCUCCGCCCGCUCCGCGGCGAUCUACUCCUCCGCUUGCAGGUGCUCCUGGAGGAGAUGGUGGUUGUAGGCGGCGUCGGCCUGCGCCUCACGAAACUGCUCCUCACGCAUCUGCCUCACCCUGUCCAUAUAUUGGGCACGGGCCUCGCCGAUGGUGAUGGUGCAAUGCACCGGCGAGGAUGGCGCGGAGGAGGGGGUUGGCGCCGGAUCGUCGACAACCAUGUUCUCCAUUGGGACGUCGUCGUCCUCCGGCUACCUGCCGGCCAGCCGGUCGGCAGCAAUGGCUGCCAUCUCCUUGUGGUCCAUCGUCUGCCCGUCCCGAAGAACGCUGGAGCGCGAGGAAGCCAUGGUGGGCAGUAGUGGUGUGGACAGGAGAAAGGGAACGGAUGUGGAUGACUGCGGUUAUGGCCGGCGCAGCAGUUUAUAUAGCAAUGGUGGGCGGGCGGAGGGACGGGCGUGUGGCGCCGGAGUAGCCGCCUCGGCAACCGCGUAUCAUUAAUGUGGGCGGCAGAUGGACGGACGGAUGACACUUGUGUCGUGUGAAGGCGGAGCAAUCGCCUGCACCGGGAAGCGGGGCGGGCGGCGCUGACUGUUUCGUGCAGAAAGCGCGCGCGGGCGAGGAGAUGACUUUACUUGGAGAGGAUGACAAUGGGGACCCACCAGGUCCGUAGCCUCACGUAUGCAAGUGCCUCCUUAUUAUAUAUAUAUAUAACUAUAAUUUAUUUUGCUUCCUCCUGGUUUCCUGACAUCACGGUCCCACACCAUUGUCAACCUAUGUAGUAGUCAAUAAACGAGAGAAUUGCACAAGAAGCGGCCAACAGUUGGGACCAAGCAGCUCGAGCAGUAUUUGUGUUUUUGAGGUGUGAGCACUGCAGAGUUUUUCGAUGUUUAGCCCAGAUAUUAAUUUUUCUCCUCUGAACAACAACGAAAACAUCACUGCAGGUAUUAACUGGGCGGGCUAUGGCCCGUCUAGCCCAGGCCAGAUAUCCAGCCUAGAUAUUAAUUUUUUUUCAAGCUGAAAAUGGCUAGCCCAGCUAUACUUUUUUUAGGAAUACCUAGGCAAGGUCAAGUUGUUAUUCUCUGCCCCGCUGGGCUGCAAAUCUUUCCUAGGAGGGAUGCAUUAGGCUUAACAAGAAAAUGGGCUUUAAGAAAUAAUAAAUGGGAUGUAAUUAUAAAAACUGGGCAGUAACUAUAAAAAAUGCAUCAAACAUGUGAUUACUUUAUAAAAUAUUAUUUUUGGAUAUUGAAAAUUUUAAUUUCAUUAAUUGUUGCGAGCGCAAUGUUUCGUUGGAUUUUUACGUAAUAUAAAUUUAUAUUGAAAUUGUAUUUAAUCUGACUAGAAAUUUUUGGAUAAAAAUAUUUCGGAUCCCAUCAAAAUGUGGGAAAUUUUAUUGAAUUCUGUUUUGAACGAUUGGUUGAAAUGGGUUGUACUUUUAACAAACUGUAAAUGGGCUGUAGUAAAUUCCAUUAGAAUUCAAAAAUGGGCUACACAUUCUUACAAAUCUCAAAUGGGCUGUAAGUUCUCUGCCACACACUUCUGGCCUUACUAAGUUGAUGCGUCCCCUAAAAAACAGAGUUGACGCGUAUGCAAGGCUUUGUCAACUUAUAGUCAACACACGGUUCUAGCUGCAGUGGCCGUUAGAUGUCCAUCCAACGGAUGUCGUGCUUCUUCUUCAAUCUCGGAUAUUCUAGCUUCACCCGCCCAAAAAUGAUUCCUCCCCCUGACAUCUGGGGCGCACCGUUUCGGAAGCUGGCCUGUGGGCCUACUAAGUUGACGUACCAAGGGCUUUGUCAACUUAGUCAAUAUAAACGAUUCUAGCUGCAGUGACCGUACGAUGUCCAUCCAACGGCCGUCGUGCUUCUUCAACCUCUGGUCUUCUUGCUCCAUCCGCCCAAAGCAGCGCCGGUCGUGCCGCCUGCUCCUGCCUCCCGUGGCCGGCUGUGCUGCCGCGGAGGCCUCACCGCCCCCUACUACUCCCACCGUUGGCCAGGCCAUCCCUCCACUCACCCACACCCCCUGUUAUUCUGCGGCGACGGCAGCGCAGCCGAACCAGUGAACCCUCGCACACCUCUCCGCGUGUGCAUCCACUGCCGCGUCUUCCCCAGCUCCGCGUCAUCCCCUUCCUAGGCGUCGCCGUCGUCCACCGCCAUGGUGUUCUUGGCGCGGCGUGGUCAACGUGGUCAAGGAACGACUUCCAUCGGACAUGGACUGUACGUGGAGAGGCUGAUAGCUAGGUCCACGGCAGCCGCAAGGAAGUGCCUCCUUAUUACGCGGAAAAUAAUUAUUCCUCCACCUGACAGCGGGGACCCACCGGACGGCCACCAGUAUUUUGCGAAAAAAAUUGUUUCCCCCUGACUGCUGGGACCCACCGGAUGGGCCAUCGUAUUUCGCGAAAAAAAACGUCCCCCCCGCUGUCAGCUCGGACCCACCGGAAGUGCCUCCUUAUUACGCACAAAAAAAUGAAUACUCCCCCGGCUAGCUGGGACCCACCUUGGUGGGAGGCUGACUUGUGGGCCUACUAAGUUGACGGGGACGAAGGGCUUUGUCAACUUAGUCAAUAUGAAUGAUUCUAGCUCCAGUGACCGUACGAUGUCCAUCCAACGGCCGUAGUGCUUCUUCAACCUCUGGUCUUCUUGCUUCAGCCGCCCAAAGCAGCCCCGGUCGUGCCGCAUGCUCCUGCCUCCCAUGGCCGGCUGUGCUGCCGCAGAGGCCUCACCGCCCCCUACUAUUCCCACCGCUGGCCAGGCCCUGCGGCGACGGCAGCCUCACACCGCAGCCGAACCAGUUAACCCUCGUACUCCUCUCCGCGCGGGCUUCCACUGCCGCGUCUUUCCCGGCUCUGCGUCGUCCCCUUCCUAGGCCUCGCCGUCGUCCACCGCCGUGGUGCUCUCCGCGCGGUGUGGCAACGUGGUCAAGGAACGAUUUCCAUCGAAAGAGUACUGUACGUGGAGAGGCUGACAGCUGGGUCCACGGCCACAGCCCAGUUUUUUUCUGAUUUGCCAAGUAAGUCACUUUGUCAGGCCUGUUGGGCUGCAAAUCUUUCAAGACGAGGAGAGCUUUCAUUCGGCUGGCCGAGAAAAUGGCCCAUCAGUAAUGAGAAAUGGGAUGUACAUUUUUAAAACACAUCAAACCGGCAAUUAGUUUCAAAUAUCUUUUUUUCAUUUCAAAAUUUUAAAUUACAUUAAUUUUUAUGCGUGGAGAAUUUGUUGGAUUUUAUAUUGAUAUACAUUUAUUUUUAAAAUUAGUUUGAAUGUGAGUCGAAAUUUCGGGAUUAAAAACAGUUCGGACUGCACCGAAAUAUGCAAAAUUUCGUAUAAUUUUUUAACCGUGGCCACAAUAUGGGCUGUAAUGCUAACAAAAAGAAUAUGGGCUCCAAAAAAACCUUAAGAAUUAGCAAAUGGGCUGUAAAUUAUUAGAAAUAAUGGCAGAUGGGUUGUAUGUUGUUUUCCACAUAUUUGAGGCUUUCCUAAAAAAAGGUUGACGCACAAGCACUGAUUGUUGGAUGUCCAUCCAACGGCCAUCGUGCUUCUUCAAUCUCUGCUCUUCCUGCUCCAGCCGGUCAAACAAGCGCCGGCGGGACUGCCUGCUCCCUCCUCCCCGCGGCCGGCUGUGCUGCCGCGCAGGCCUCACCGCCCCACUGUACUCCCAUCGCUGGCCUAGCCAUCCCUCUACUCACCCACACCUGCUGUUAUUCUCC
RNAcentral lists this long non-coding RNA (27609 nucleotides) under Triticum aestivum (bread wheat). Its description in RNAcentral is "long non-coding RNA (TAES_LNC016856)". Lineage: Eukaryota; Viridiplantae; Streptophyta; Magnoliopsida; Poales; Poaceae. The record is from RNAcentral.